GCGGGUGUAGCUCAGGGGUAGAGCACAACCUUGCCAAGGUUGGGGUCGAGGGUUCGAAUCCCUUCGCCCGCUCC
Molecule: transfer RNA, 74 nt
Filed under: Brucella sp. 10RB9215
Lineage: Bacteria; Pseudomonadati; Pseudomonadota; Alphaproteobacteria; Hyphomicrobiales; Brucellaceae
Also listed under: 1 other name
Description: tRNA-Gly
Rfam family: tRNA
About the family: Transfer RNA (tRNA) molecules are approximately 80 nucleotides in length. Their secondary structure includes four short double-helical elements and three loops (D, anti-codon, and T loops).
Source: RNAcentral